Molecule: non-coding RNA, 911 nt
Organism: Paramuricea clavata
Lineage: Eukaryota; Metazoa; Cnidaria; Anthozoa; Malacalcyonacea; Plexauridae
Source: the annotation of a GenBank genome assembly
CUUGACGAUGAUGUUAUAGUAAUAGUGCAUAUUUAGAAUAUACAUUAGCAAAUACUUGUGUAGAACUACUGUUCACGCUCCUUUUCGUCUGAUACCCAAGUUACGCCCCUGAUGUUCUAUACCUAAGAAGUAUAUGUUGAAGAGCAAAUAAAUGGCCACACGAAGAGGAUCACAAAAUUGUUUCAGUAAGAUAAACGCAUUGAAAAAGUCAGUAUUUCCUGAGAAGCAGGAAAUGUUUUCUUACAAGUGGAAAAUAAUUGUUUAAUUUGCUUAUAUUAAUGUUACACUACAUAUUAAUACGCCAGAUUUCUUGUAUAAUAAAAUGUUUCCUGCUCCACUGAAUGCAUUUCUUCUUGUAUGAUGGUAAGUAAACAAAUAAUACAAUUUUGAGCUGUGAAAGUUCAUUUAUGGCCUUAAAUAUGGAAAAUAUGCACCGCAUAUUUGGGAAUUUUUUCCGCGGAAGUGACUUCAAAAAUUUCGCUGUAUUUUUAGUUUUUGACCUGCGGAAUUCCAGAAUAUCUGUCUUGCCAGACUUAAUUAAAAAAAAACUUUUAAAAAGUACCAUGCUUCAUUGUGAUCCUUUGAGUUGAGCUAAUCGUUCUUGUUACCCUCGCAAGGGGACUUUGUCCUUCCACUUGAAGCAAAGUUCACUGAAAAAUAGCACAUGCCCCCCACUUUGCUCUUUGAAAGUCAUAGGCGUAUCCUUUGGGGCCUCCCAACACAUCAAGGAGUAGCCUCCACCAAAAAUAUGAAACCAAUACACUAUUUUGCAUAUGUUGUGCUCGGGAUCCUUCAGGAUAUGCUGUAUACCUUGGUCGUAGGCGUCUUCCUGCUUCAUCCAGUCUUUCUCUAACACAAGCUUUCCAUUGGAGGGCCGGUAGCUUGUGCCACGUCGAUACGCCUGUAACAGA